RNAcentral lists this ribosomal RNA (497 nucleotides) under uncultured bacterium. Its description in RNAcentral is "partial 16S ribosomal RNA". It matches the Rfam family "Bacterial small subunit ribosomal RNA", at positions 28 to 507 of the family's 1533-position model. The record is from RNAcentral.
GACGAACGCUGGCGGCGUGCCUAAUACAUACAAGUUGAGCGAUGAAGAUUGGUGCUUGCACCAAUUUGAAGAGCAGCGAACGGGUGAGUAACGCGUGGGGAAUCUGCCUUUGAGCGGGGGACAACAUUUGGAAACGAAUGCUAAUACCGCAUAACAACUUUAAACAUAAGUUUUAAGUUUGAAAGAUGCAAUUGCAUCACUCAAAGAUGAUCCCGCGUUGUAUUAGCUAGUUGGUGAGGUAAAGGCUCACCAAGGCGAUGAUACAUAGCCGACCUGAGAGGGUGAUCGGCCACAUUGGGACUGAGACACGGCCCAAACUCCUACGGGAGGCAGCAGUAGGGAAUCUUCGGCAAUGGACGAAAGUCUGACCGAGCAACGCCGCAUGAGUGAAGAAGGGUUUCGGAUCGUAAAACUCUGUUGGUAGAGAAGAACGUUGGUGAGAGUGGAAAGCUCAUCAAGUGACGGUAACUACCCAGAAAGGGACGGCUAACUACGUG